Scophthalmus maximus (turbot) is the source of this 4015-nucleotide long non-coding RNA. The record is from Ensembl. Lineage: Eukaryota; Metazoa; Chordata; Actinopteri; Pleuronectiformes; Scophthalmidae.
GCAAUUACAGCAAACCUUCAUGUCUACUUCAUCAAAAGAAAACAGCUUGUAUAAGAACUUCAGUGACCUAGUUCGCAGUAUAUUACCAGCAGAGAGAUUAAACAUCAACCUCAUAUGUGGUAUUAACUCAAUUAUCAGUGUGACACACAAAAAAUAUAUGAACAUUGGGGGUUGUGGGUUCAAAAAUCCCAUCAGGGGAGCCACUGUUUAUGUAGCGGUCAACGCCUGUUGAGCCAGGGUCUGACAAUUUCAUAAUUUUGUUAGAGCUAUUCAGAACACUCCUUUAGAUGUGAGCAUACACCACGUUCAACAGAGCAGUAUACAGGCUGCAAAACACACACACACACACACACACACACACACACACACACACACACACACACACACACACACACACACACACACACACACACACACACACACACACACACACACACACACACACACACACACAAGCCAGAAAAAAAACUCACAAUGCACACAAUCCGAGUCCCUGAGUCAACUUCUCAGUCUCAGUCAAUAUAUACAAGUCUCUAUCCACAAUUUGAUAUGCAGUGGGUCCGUUUUAGGUCACCUAAAAGUCAGUAGGAGUGGUACCUCCUGUCCGGUUUGCAGCUGUGUUGUGUGCGCCGGGGUUACCGGUGUUACCUCCAGUUUCCGGAAGACGGUCAGCAGCAGACUCCGGCGGCGAACGGCGGGAGAGUCGGGACGAGACGUGGAUGUGAGCUGGAUCCGGUGAACGGCAGCGAACCUGGCGUACAACGGACUGAAAGCACGCGGUGCCAGGGGUUGACACGAGCUAGCGACACAGGGACGGUGUAAACCUCCUCUUCGGCGCGACUACCACAGGGUUGCUGUGGCAACACGGCAAGCUCAAAAGCCCCAGCGCCCCGUUUCCAAAGGAAGGUCCUCUGCUCCAGCAACGGGCAGCGACUGUGAGAUGAUGGUGGCUACCAGCCAGGUGUGUGUCCAGGAUCCAGGGUCCGCACCUUCUCGUCUCCUCCCAGUCAGAGAUCCGCAGUUUCUUUUUUUAAGUUUAAAGCUCAAUACUGAGAUCGUAACAAGCCACGGAGGUCCUCACACCAGUGGAACCGGCUACACGGUCCGUCCACCUCCUCCACGUCCUCGUCUCUUCCUGUUCCACACCUCUGCAGGCCAACCGCUGAGGAGCAUCCUUUACGUGACAGCAGGGGAGAUCGGAGGUGUAGAGCACAAGUCACACAGAUGGUCACGUGUGUGUACAUGUUGGAGUACAUAUUCACUUUGUGUAGACGGAUCCUCGAAGGAGCGCAGCUGAGAGUCGAGGGAGACGGGAGAUGACAGCGGUGAAGGGUGAGCAGGAACAAAAAAAAAGAGGUGUGGAAGGAAGAAAGAUGUUUAGUUGAGGAUGAAACAAAGAGGACAAAUGUGAGGGGGAGCGGGCAAAAUCUACAUGAGGUGAGAGACACUCUGAAUACAAAUCACUAAAAAAGACAUGAAGAGAGGCAUUUGUUAUCCGUCUGUAUUGGAUUCACACACGAAAACUUCCUUUCUCAUCAUCAUGUCGGGAGACGACACGAUGGAAAUGUUGUAACCGUUCAUUUCCACCUGCCCAACUCAAUUUCCCUCUGUGCCAAUAAAACGCGCGACCUUUCUUUCCUCUCUUCCCAUCUCCCUCUGCCUUUUCCCUUUCUUUCCUCCAACAUCGUCUCUACUCUGCCAAAACACCAGUGACCUGUCUGCCACAGUCGGUCCGCCCUCACAUCAGCAUCUAAUGCGCCGCACUGGAAGGAAUUCAGCGGGAAUUAUAGUUCCGCCGGACGCUAUUUGCUGUUAUAAUUACAGAGAGAGUCAUUGAGGAGGAUUAAGCCACAGGUCAUCUCAUAUCUGACUGCCAAUUGUCCCUUUUCAAGUAAUCAGGGCCGCAGGACUUUUAGUGCAUCCGCGGGGUUGUCGGAACGAUCGGGGAAAUGAGCUCUCCACCGGGAGAAUUCACGCGAACGCCACCUCGGGUCGGAGCAACAACUCAGGCAGUCGCCAGAGGGUUCGGUGCACGAGUUGCAGAUGUCAUGCACAGAAACAUAAGCAGAGGAACCAGAGUGUUUGGUUGAUGCGUCAAAACUUUUGAAUAAUGGUGUCAAUUAACGUGUUGCAUGUAACUUUUUUUUUCGAAAGUGGUAGUUGUCCCUGUAGAGUGUCCUGGAUUAAUUAGAAAAAUGUAUAUUUAUUAAAACUGAUAUGCCUGUCACGCCUGGCCCCUUUUUCUUUGCUCUUCGUUAUCAUGCAGAUAUGGAAAGUGGUGUUGAGCUGUUGUUCAAACACUCUAAACACGCGACACAUUUUUGUUCACAGCGUCCUUGAUUUUCUCUCAUAAUGAAACCGCUUGCUGUGGAAAAAGAAAAGAAGGCAUAUAAGGUCUUUUUAAAUGAAUGGUCCAACAAGCCUGGUGAGGAUUGUUCGCUCACACAGUGCGAGCAGAGGAAAUGGAUCUUACAUUAAGCAGCUCUGCUGAAAUCAGCGAGCUCGGAAAAAGUACGCAUUGGGCGCUGCCUCAUCUCGUAAAGGUGUCUUGCUUUUGCCAGGUUUUCUUUCUUUUCUUUUUCUUUUACGUCUAAAAGAAACACACAUACACACACACACUCACAGAACCACACACACAUACACACACACACAGAACCACAACACACACACACACACACACACACACACCUUAGUCAUUGUCGAUUCCGAUCGUGUACCUUUCUCGGUGUCUUUGAAGGAAAUCGACGACCAUGUUUCUUCCGCUGCCCAUGUUGACUCACUAGCUGUUUCUCUUUUCGGGUCACAACAUGCCGAGCGUUGUGUUAGCAUUGUGUGAGCACAACCCAGCUGCACACUUCGUACAGACUGAGUCAGUUGUGUUGUGUAAUCCGCACGGGAGUAAAGAAGAACAACCGACAUCUGGAAAUUCAUCCCUCAUGAUUAUUCGUCGACAUUCAGCGGCUGGUAUUCGUAUAUAUAUAUAUAUUUUAAUGUCCAGUGCGUUGGUUAACAUGAGGUUGACAUUUGCAAAUGUUUGUUAAAACGGUAAACCAACAUUGUAAAAAUGAUACCCGUUAAACAUCAGCAUGAUUGCGUUGUAAUUGUUGGUGUGUUAAGCACAGGGAAAAUGUACUUAACGUCACAUGAAAUGUUCAUGAAGUUGGUGCUCUCAUCUUCAUGAAGGAUGCAACAUUGUGAUGAUUGUGAGAAGUCAGAUAGUUUUUUUAUUAUUAUUAUUUUGCAUUCCGUCUAGUCCUUGUCUCAUACUUUACUGCAUGCUAUACCACUAGCAAUUAUCUUAGAAGACUCAGUGGGAUAUCCUCUGUGCAUAUAUAUAUUUCAUAACUACCAAAAGGUAUAGUAAAUCAAAGAUUUCAUGACAAAAAUAUGUUGUUGGAAUUCAGUUUGUCCUGUAUUUGCUUUGGUGGACUAACCGAAUCAGGAAUUUCUGUCAUUUCCUUUCAUAAUUGAUAAUACAUUUUCCAUAAAAUGUAACUAUCUAUCUACCUAUCUAUUAUCAUGUAAAACGAUUUGUUGAUUAUGUUAGGGAGUCAAAUACAAUAUUCCAUGACAUAGGAUUUCUAUACUCCGCUAGCCUGAUCAUACCAUUAAUGUCAAGAUAGGAAAAAGCGGGUAAUUCUAGGAAGAAAUGAAGAGAAACCUUUCAUGGGUCCACUGUGAACUAAUUAUGGGGGAAAAAAUACGGCCAUGAGCACAGAACAUUAUGCUGUAGACUAAAGCUGUCCUCAGUAUGAACGUGAAAAGGUUUGGUUUUACGAGCGGCUCUUCGUCUGCUGUUUGGAGAUACUUUGGUUUAAUGCCAGGCGACACUUCGACUGUGUGCAGUGGUUAGCUCAUUGAAACCAAGAACAGUAAAGUAGUAUCUAUUAUCGCAAAAAGUAGACUACUUUAGUAGUAAGAGAGUAAAAGGAAAAGUAAAAUUGUUGCUGCCACAAUGUCAUGGAGACAGAAAUGACCCCGAUUUGACGCGCUUUUAGUGACACUGACGGGAAAA